AUUAGAAUGGCAGAUCAGUGCACAGGAUUUAAGCUUCUGUUAGGGAAUGU
This 50-nucleotide transfer RNA is filed under the name Euprymna scolopes. RNAcentral's name for it is "tRNA-Leu". Lineage: Eukaryota; Metazoa; Mollusca; Cephalopoda; Sepiida; Sepiolidae. The record is from RNAcentral.